ACGAACGCUGGCGGCGCGCUUAACACAUGCCCGUCGAACGGAAAGGCCUGCUUUCCCUUGUGGAUUGCGGGUACUCGAGUGGCGAACGGGUGAGUAACACGUGAGUGAUCUGCCCCCAACUUGGGUAUAAGCCUGGGAAACUGGGUCUAAUUCCCGAUAGGACUGCAGGGUGGUGCCUGUGGUGGAAAACGAUUUUCUAGUGGUUGGGGAUGAGCUCGCGGCCUAUCAGCUUGUUGGUGGGGUAAUGGCCUACCAAGGCGGCGACGGGUAGCCGGCCUGAGAGGGUGGACGGCCAGAGUGGGACUGAGAUACGGCCCAGACUCCUACGGGAGGCAGCAGUGGGGAAGAUUGCACAAUGGGCGGAAGCCUGAUGCAGCGACGCCGCGUGGGGGAUGACGGGCUUCGGGUUGUAAACUCCUUUCGACCGCGAGGAAGCCACCUGGUUGGAAGGGUGGUGACGGUAGUGGUAGAAGAAGCACCGGCUAACUACGUG
Molecule: ribosomal RNA, 493 nt
Filed under: uncultured bacterium
Lineage: Bacteria
Description: partial 16S ribosomal RNA
Rfam family: Bacterial small subunit ribosomal RNA
Source: RNAcentral